UACGUAGGGCGCGAGCGUUGUCCGGAAUUAUUGGGCGUAAAGAGCUCGUAGGCGGUCUGUCGCGUCGGAUGUGAAAGCCCGGGGCUUAACCCCGGGUCUGCAUUCGAUACGGGCAGACUAGAGUGUGGUAGGGGAGAUCGGAAUUCCUGGUGUAGCGGUGAAAUGCGCAGAUAUCAGGAGGAACACCGGUGGCGAAGGCGGGUCUCUGGGCCGAUACUGACGCUGAGGAGCGAAAGCGUGGGGAGCGAACAGG
This 253-nucleotide ribosomal RNA is filed under the name uncultured bacterium. RNAcentral's name for it is "partial 16S ribosomal RNA". It matches the Rfam family "Bacterial small subunit ribosomal RNA", at positions 524 to 776 of the family's 1533-position model. The record is from RNAcentral.